CGGCAACAGCUCAAAUUUGAAAUCUGGCCCUAGGCCCGAGUUGUAAUUUGUAGAGGAUGCUUCUGGUGACGUGCCUUCUGAGUUCCCUGGAACGGGACGCCAGAGAGGGUGAGAGCCCCGUACAGUCGUGCACCGAACCUCUGUGUAGCACCUUCGAC
This 158-nucleotide ribosomal RNA is filed under the name Atractospora sp. Its description in RNAcentral is "partial large subunit ribosomal RNA". It matches the Rfam family "Eukaryotic large subunit ribosomal RNA", at positions 99 to 261 of the family's 3401-position model. The record is from RNAcentral. Lineage: Eukaryota; Fungi; Ascomycota; Sordariomycetes; Atractosporales; Atractosporaceae.